Molecule: transfer RNA, 76 nt
Filed under: Chloroflexota bacterium
Lineage: Bacteria; Bacillati; Chloroflexota
Description: Chloroflexi bacterium (freshwater metagenome) tRNA-His
Rfam family: tRNA
About the family: Transfer RNA (tRNA) molecules are approximately 80 nucleotides in length.
Source: RNAcentral
GUGGGCGUGGCCAAGUGGUCAAGGCGCCAGGUUGUGGCCCUGGAGAUCGUGGGUUCGACCCCCAUCGCCCACCCCA